UACACAUGCAGUCGACGAUGAUGCCCAGCUUGCUGGGUGGAUUAGUGGCGAACGGGUGAGUAACACGUGAGUAACCUGCCCCUGACUCUGGGAUAAGCGUUGGAAACGACGUCUAAUACUGGAUACGACUGCCGGCCGCAUGGUCUGGUGGUGGAAAGAUUUUUUGGUUGGGGAUGGACUCGCGGCCUAUCAGCUUGUUGGUGAGGUAAUGGCUCACCAAGGCGACGACGGGUAGCCGGCCUGAGAGGGUGACCGGCCACACUGGGACUGAGACACGGCCCAGACUCCUACGGGAGGCAGCAGUGGGGAAUAUUGCACAAUGGGCGAAAGCCUGAUGCAGCAACGCCGCGUGAGGGAUGACGGCCUUCGGGUUGUAAACCUCUUUUAGUAGGGAAGAAGCGAAAGUGACGGUACCUGCAGAAAAAGCACCGGCUAACUACGUGCCAGCAGCCGCGGUAAUACGUAGGGUGCAAGCGUUGUCCGGAAUUAUUGNGCGUAAAGAGCUCGUAGGCGGNUUGUCGCGUCUGCUGUGAAAUC
RNAcentral lists this ribosomal RNA (537 nucleotides) under Curtobacterium citreum. RNAcentral describes it as "bacterial SSU rRNA". It matches the Rfam family "Bacterial small subunit ribosomal RNA", at positions 50 to 601 of the family's 1533-position model. Lineage: Bacteria; Bacillati; Actinomycetota; Actinomycetes; Micrococcales; Microbacteriaceae. The record is from RNAcentral.